This 279-nucleotide ribosomal RNA is filed under the name uncultured bacterium. Its description in RNAcentral is "partial 16S ribosomal RNA". It matches the Rfam family "Bacterial small subunit ribosomal RNA", at positions 506 to 784 of the family's 1533-position model. The record is from RNAcentral.
UGCCAGCCGCCGCGGUAAUACGAAGGGUGCUAGCGUUGUUCGGAAUUACUGGGCGUAAAGCGCGCGUAGGCGGCGCAUUAAGUCAGAGGUGAAAGCCCGGGGCUCAACCCCGGAAUUGCCUUUGAGACUGGUGUGCUUGAGUACGGAAGAGGUGAGUGGAAUUCCCAGUGUAGAGGUGAAAUUCGUAGAUAUUGGGAAGAACACCAGUGGCGAAGGCGGCUCACUGGCUCGAUACUGACGCUGAGGUGCGAAAGCGUGGGGAGCAAACAGGAUUAGAUA